GCAGUAGCCGCGGUAAUACGUAGGGUGCGAGCGUUAAUCGGAAUUACUGGGCGUAAAGCGUGCGCAGGCGGUUAUAUAAGACAGAUGUGAAAUCCCCGGGCUCAACCUGGGACCUGCAUUUGUGACUGUAUAGCUAGAGUACGGUAGAGGGGGAUGGAAUUCCGCGUGUAGCAGUGAAAUGCGUAGAUAUGCGGAGGAACACCGAUGGCGAAGGCAAUCCCCUGGACCUGUACUGACGCUCAUGCACGAAAGCGUGGGGAGCAAGCAGGAUUAGAUACCCCGGUAGUCCCUGUCUCUUAUAA
Molecule: ribosomal RNA, 302 nt
Filed under: uncultured bacterium
Lineage: Bacteria
Description: partial 16S ribosomal RNA
Rfam family: Bacterial small subunit ribosomal RNA
Source: RNAcentral